GAUGAACGCUGGCGGCGUGCCUAAUACAUGCAAGUCGAGCGAACAGACGAGGAGCUUGCUCCUCUGACGUUAGCGGCGGACGGGUGAGUAACACGUGGAUAACCUACCUAUAAGACUGGGAUAACUUCGGGAAACCGGAGCUAAUACCGGAGCAUAUAUUGAACCGCAUGGAUCAAUAGUGAAAGACGGUUUUGCUGUCACUUAUAGAUGGAUCCGCGCCGCAUUAGCUAGUUGGUAAGGUAACGGCUUACCAAGGCAACGAUGCGUAGCUGACCUGAGAGGGUGAUCAGCCACACUGGAACUGAGACACGGUCCAGACUCCUACGGGAGGCAGCAGUAGGGAAUCUUCCGCAAUGGGCGAAAGCCUGACGGAGCAACGCCGCGUGAGUGAUGAAGGUCUUCGGAUCGUAAAACUCUGUUAUUAGGGAAGAACAAAUGUGUAAGUAACUAUGCCCGUCUUGACGGUACCUAAUCAGAAAGCCCCGGCUAACUACGUG
RNAcentral lists this ribosomal RNA (497 nucleotides) under uncultured bacterium. Its description in RNAcentral is "partial 16S ribosomal RNA". It matches the Rfam family "Bacterial small subunit ribosomal RNA", at positions 28 to 507 of the family's 1533-position model. The record is from RNAcentral.